GCCAGGUGUGAUGUCAUGCACCUUAGUCCCAGCUAUUCUGGAGGCUGAGGCAGGAGGAUCGCUCGAGCCCAGGAGUUCUGGGCUGUAGUGUGCUAUGCCAAUUGUGUGUUCACACUCAGUUCAGCAUCAAUAUGGUGACUUCCUGGGAGCAAGGGACCACUAGGUUGCCUAAGGAGGGGUAAACCAGCCCAGGUCAGAAAUGGAACAGGUCAAAACUCCUGUGCUGAUUAGUAGUGGGAUCACACCUGUGAAUAGCCACUGCACUCCAGCCUGGGCAACUUCAUGAGAUCCCAUCACU
This 298-nucleotide signal recognition particle RNA is filed under the name Theropithecus gelada (gelada). RNAcentral's name for it is "Metazoan signal recognition particle RNA (ENSTGEG00000000036.1)". It matches the Rfam family "Metazoan signal recognition particle RNA". From Rfam's summary of the family: The signal recognition particle (SRP) is a universally conserved ribonucleoprotein. It is involved in the co-translational targeting of proteins to membranes. Lineage: Eukaryota; Metazoa; Chordata; Mammalia; Primates; Cercopithecidae. The record is from RNAcentral.